GAUGAAGAACGUAGCGAAAUGCGAUAAGUAAUGUAAAUUGCAGAAUCCAGUGAAUCAUCGAAUCUUUGAACGCACAUUGCGCCCGCCAGCAUUCUGGCGGGCAUGCCUGUUCGAGCGUCAUUUCAACCCUCGACCUCCCUUUGGGGAAGUCGGCGUUGGGGACCGGCAGCACACCGCCGGCCCUGAAAUGGAGUGGCGGCCCGUCCGCGGCGACCUCUGCGUAGUAAACCAACUCGCACCGGAACCCCGACGUGGCCACGCCGUAAAACACCCAACUUCUGAACGUUGACCUCGAAUCAGGUAGGACUACCCGCUGAACUUAAGCAUAUCAAUAAGCGGAGGA
This 343-nucleotide unclassified non-coding RNA is filed under the name soil metagenome. Its description in RNAcentral is "partial contains 5.8S ribosomal RNA, internal transcribed spacer 2, and large subunit ribosomal RNA". The stretch from base 1 to 120 matches the Rfam family "5.8S ribosomal RNA", at positions 35 to 154 of the family's 154-position model. The record is from RNAcentral.